AUUGAACGCUGGCGGCAUGCCUUACACAUGCGAGUCGAACGGCAGCACGGGUGCUUGCACCUGGUGGCGAGUGGCGAACGGGUGAGUAAUACAUCGGAACAUGUCCUGUAGUGGGGAUAGCCCGGCGAAAGCCGGAUUAAUACCGCAUACGAUCUACGGAUGAAAGCGGGGGACCUUCGGGCCUCGCGCUAUAGGGUUGGCCGAUGGCUGAUUAGCUAGUUGGUGGGGUAAAGGCCUACCAAGGCGACGAUCAGUAGCUGGUCUGAGAGGACGACCAGCCACACUGGGACUGAGACACGGCCCAGACUCCUACGGGAGGCAGCAGUGGGGAAUUUUGGACAAUGGGCGAAAGCCUGAUCCAGCAAUGCCGCGUGUGUGAAGAAGGCCUUCGGGUUGUAAAGCACUUUUGUCCGGAAAGAAAUCCUUGGCCCUAAUACGGUCGGGGGAUGACGGUACCGGAAGAAUAAGCACCGGCUAACUACGUG
This 485-nucleotide ribosomal RNA is filed under the name uncultured bacterium. RNAcentral's name for it is "partial 16S ribosomal RNA". It matches the Rfam family "Bacterial small subunit ribosomal RNA", at positions 30 to 507 of the family's 1533-position model. The record is from RNAcentral.